GACUAUGAACAUAAACGCGCUCGUAAUAAUCGGAUCGGACCCGGGGGCGGUACCCGGCGACUCCACCAAACAUCCUUCAUUUGGGGAUCAUGGGGUCGAAACAGGAUCGACGAACGCCUAAAGGGGUUAGCUUUGUUUCGGUGAGUUACCACCGUUAUCGGUACAAAUUGUAUAGUUGCAAAUGACAACCGUGCUCCAGUAGCUCUCGCAGCGUAAGCUGUGCGAAAUACUGAAAAUUAAGUCCUUACGCCUAGCCGCGUAAGGCGGGGUUCGGAGGUACCU
This 282-nucleotide transfer-messenger RNA is filed under the name Ochromonas sp. CCMP1393. RNAcentral describes it as "partial Alphaproteobacteria transfer-messenger RNA". It matches the Rfam family "Alphaproteobacteria transfer-messenger RNA", at positions 51 to 336 of the family's 355-position model. From Rfam's summary of the family: Bacterial tmRNA, also known as 10Sa RNA or SsrA, is named for its dual tRNA and mRNA-like properties. Its role is to liberate the mRNA from a stalled ribosome. Lineage: Eukaryota; Chrysophyceae; Chromulinales; Chromulinaceae. The record is from RNAcentral.